CGCUCCCCCUCUCUCUCCCCUCACCCUCUCUCUCCUCUCUCUCCCUCUCCCUCUCUCUCUUUUAAAAAAUCAGCCAUUUGGGGUUUUAAGCCAUAAACGAUUUUUCUUGUUGCAGGGGAUUGCAGAGGCAAAGCUAGGCUAGGUCUUGGAGGCUGGUGUGAGGCUGUGCGGGUAAGACAGGAGCAGGCUGAUGGAAGACUCUGGUAGAAGAAAAGCCGAAAUGGAUUCUCCGUGCCUUGGAUGGAGGAAGAGGGGGAAGUGCGAGCUCCUUCAGCUCAUUCCGUCCGGUGAGGAGUGAUCCAGCUUGGGCUGACAAGAGGCUCCGGAGCCCUCACGUUCACUGCUUUUUUACCUGCCAAUCAAACUGCUACAAGACAACACCCUGUUCUGGCAUGGACGCGAAGACACAGGCAAGCAUACUGAUGUCAGUGGAAGUCCAGUGAACCCCAAGGAUCCAGGAUUUCAAACAAAAGAACCCGGGCCAAGAAAAACUGUAGGACAUGUAUGUUCAGAAAUCGUAAACGCAAGUGGAGGAGAGAACAGCUCUGCUGAGACUGUGUGAUGACAAGGAGGAAGAGCAAGAGUGAGCAUUGGAUGCAGGAAGAGAGCAUCAGAUGCUGAAAGAUUAAAUCUAGAAAUUCUCCUCAAGACCCAUUUAAAAGAAUCUGACUGGUUGCUUUGGUCUAAGAGUUCAGACAUCUCUUGCAAAACUAAGAAAGACCUCAUUUUCCAUUUGCUGGUCCUGUUUGUCAGCCCUGGGCCCUGUGAGAAGCUUACCAGGAGCUCCCACACUGGAAGGACCAUGGUCUCACAGUGAACCUGGAGCUCACCCAUUUUGGUUUGACUGAGGCCCAAGGAUCUUCCAGUCUCAGUCUCCCAGUGCUAUGGUCAUCUUCUUUGUCACAUGGGUGCUGGGGAUCCGAACUCAGUUCUUCCAGCUUGUGGAGCAAGUGCUGAGCCAUCCCUCUGUCUUCCCAAGCCCAUGUGACAUUGGGCUGAAGAUAUUCAGAGGACAUGAAAGUAGGUGAUCAGGCCCUGGACCCAAACUCCUGGUGUCUCCCCACAUGCCAAACAAGAACUAAAAAUGUAAAGACUCUCAGGUUGCCGGUCAAGCCUGGGUUCCAUCUCAGCACUGAAACAAUGCUCUGGUGUUCACAGGGUAUUUGUGCAGCUGAUCCUGAAGUUCUGAAGUCCCUUACUCUGUUGUUUGUGUCGGCAGCCAUGUUGGUGAAACUUUAUGGAGGUAGCUUCUGAAGCCGCUAGGAGAUAUAACCUGACAGCAAAUUCCCUGACCCGCUGGCUCUUACAGUCUUCACUACAGAGCAUCUGCAUGUGAGUGUGUAACCAUCCCGUCUGUGUUCCCUGGCUGGGCAAAGUUGGAUUCAAACUCCAGAGUCUCCCAUCCAGUACCUGUGAGGAUCAAUGACACAUAUCUCACCUUGCAACCAUCAACUAUCUGAAGACCCUCAGGGAGGAUGGGGCCUAGUGAGCCUCUCUCCAUUAGCCACCUUGUUUUGCUUUCUAAGACAGAGUCUGGUGCAGCCCAAACUGGCCUUGAACUCCAUAUGUAGCCAAGGCUAACUCAGAACCUGAUAACUGUCUCCAUCUUCCAAGUGCUGGGAUCAUGAGCAUUCCCCACUGUGCCUCCUGCAAACAUACUGAAAGACAGAAGCAAAGAAUCCAAGCCUCAUGGACACGAUCCAGAAGCUCCAGAGUCGUCCUGUAAUCAUCAAAUUAGUCAAUGGAUAUGAAGGUUUUGGGCGAUGUAGAAUAAGACAGGAGGAAGAGGUUAUUUUCGUGGGUACCAAUCUUCUCACCAUGAAAGAGCUUUUCCCCUCCUUCCCUCCCUCCCUCCCUCCCUCCCUUCCUCCCUCCCUUU
Onychomys torridus (southern grasshopper mouse) is the source of this 1879-nucleotide long non-coding RNA. RefSeq lists it as uncharacterized. The record is from RefSeq and is a predicted model, not a curated record. The transcript is spliced from 5 exons. Lineage: Eukaryota; Metazoa; Chordata; Mammalia; Rodentia; Cricetidae.